UAGCUCAGUUGGUAGAGCAUGGUGUUUGCAACACCAGGGUUUUGGGUUCGAUUCCCAU
Molecule: non-coding RNA, 58 nt
Organism: Salmo salar (Atlantic salmon)
Lineage: Eukaryota; Metazoa; Chordata; Actinopteri; Salmoniformes; Salmonidae
Source: Rfam